Uranotaenia lowii is the source of this 582-nucleotide long non-coding RNA. RefSeq lists it as uncharacterized. The record is from RefSeq and is a predicted model, not a curated record. The transcript has 3 exons. Lineage: Eukaryota; Metazoa; Arthropoda; Insecta; Diptera; Culicidae.
CCGAGCGUGUAUACCGCGUAACUGAAUCGAGUCAUCAUUUCAAUCGGUCCAAGUAAUUCUGGAACACAUCAAAUCUGUUGGUAAACAUAAAAGACACGGAUGAGAAGACCCCGCUUGAAAUUCAUAUCAGCAUAUAUUCCUCUCUCUAUCGGGAAGCGGUCCUCACUCAAUAAUCCGGUUUUUUUUAUCAUUUUGGUGCGAAAUGCGAGAUACUAUGACGACCGUUUUUUCACCAUCCGGAAGAAGCUGGAACCGACUGGACUACUUGAGAAACAUCACCCGCCGGUCACCAGUAAAUUAUUCAACCGUAAACGAACAACACUAGUGUUGCGACACAGAUAUUUUGGCCAUUUGCUGAAGCUACGGAUUAACAAAAUGCCACCCAGGCAUGAGAUCACCACUUCCGGAGUUGUUCGGCACCGACGUUAGGUGAUCGUGGGGGAAAAUCACUUUUGCUGCUACAAAUGUUAUCGGGUGUUUCGACCGCUGUUGGUGUUCACCUAGCGCUAGGCACUUAAUUACUAUGGUAAAUUGUAAAUAAGAACAGAAAAACAAGGAAUAAUAUAAAUAACAUAUUUGAAA